RNAcentral lists this ribosomal RNA (937 nucleotides) under uncultured Leotiomycetes. RNAcentral describes it as "eukaryotic LSU rRNA". The stretch from base 561 to 937 matches the Rfam family "Eukaryotic large subunit ribosomal RNA", at positions 1 to 375 of the family's 3401-position model. Lineage: Eukaryota; Fungi; Ascomycota; Leotiomycetes. The record is from RNAcentral.
UUCUUGGUCAUUUAGAGGAAGUAAAAGUCGUAACAAGGUUUCCGUAGGUGAACCUGCGGAAGGAUCAUUAAUGUAACCGGACCGGUCCUCUGCCGUAAAACGCAGCGGAUCGGAAAGGGAGAUAUCAUACACCCUAUGUUUAUUUACCUUUGUUGCUUUGGCGGGCCGUCCUUUUAGGCGUCGGCCCCGGCUGAUCGCGCCCGCCAGAGACCCAAACUCUUCUAUUGGUGAUGUCUGAGUACUAUAUAAUAGUUAAAACUUUCAACAACGGAUCUCUUGGUUCUGGCAUCGAUGAAGAACGCAGCGAAAUGCGAUAAGUAAUGUGAAUUGCAGAAUUCAGUGAAUCAUCGAAUCUUUGAACGCACAUUGCGCCCGCUGGUAUUCCGGCGGGCAUGCCUGUUCGAGCGUCAUUAUGACCAAUCAAGCUCUGCUUGGCCUUGGGGCCCGCUGUACCGGCGGCUCUUAAAACUAGUGGCGGUGCCGGCUGGCUCUAAGCGUAGUAAUACUUCUCGCUAUAGGGUCCAGUCGUCUACCCGCCAGAACCCUCAACUUUCUUAGGUUGACCUCGGAUCAGGUAGGGAUACCCGCUGAACUUAAGCAUAUCAAUAAGCGGAGGAAAAGAAACCAACAGGGAUUGCCUCAGUAACGGCGAGUGAAGCGGCAAUAGCUCAAAUUUGAAAUCUGGCUCUUUUAGAGUCCGAGUUGUAAUUUGCAGAGGGCGCUUUGGCUUUGGCAGCGGUCCAAGUUCCUUGGAACAGGACGUCACAGAGGGUGAGAAUCCCGUACGUGGUCGCUGGCUAUUGCCGUGUAAAGCCCCUUCGACGAGUCGAGUUGUUUGGGAAUGCAGCUCUAAAUGGGAGGUACAUUUCUUCUAAAGCUAAAUAUUGGCCAGAGACCGAUAGCGCACAAGUAGAGUGAUCGAAAGAUGAAAAGAAUC